GCUCCUGUAGCCCAAUUGGAAGAGGCGGCAGACUUAAAAUCUGUCUGGUUGUGGGUUCGAGUCCCACCAGGAGUACCA
RNAcentral lists this transfer RNA (78 nucleotides) under Dendronalium phyllosphericum CENA369. RNAcentral describes it as "tRNA-Leu". It matches the Rfam family "tRNA". Rfam says of the family: Transfer RNA (tRNA) molecules are approximately 80 nucleotides in length. Their secondary structure includes four short double-helical elements and three loops (D, anti-codon, and T loops). The record is from RNAcentral. Lineage: Bacteria; Bacillati; Cyanobacteriota; Cyanophyceae; Nostocales; Nostocaceae.